Molecule: unclassified non-coding RNA, 232 nt
Filed under: Hevea brasiliensis (rubber tree)
Lineage: Eukaryota; Viridiplantae; Streptophyta; Magnoliopsida; Malpighiales; Euphorbiaceae
Source: RNAcentral
ACCCUAAUUAAGCCUCCAAGUGAAGCCAAGCUGGAAUGAAUGAUGAAUCCGUUAUCGUUUUUAAGAUAUUUAAGAGAUUCUUUUUGAAAUUUUGGAAUCUUUUGGACAACAACGUGAUUUUUCCUAAUUUCGAUUUUUUUUUGAAGGACAUCUUUCUUUUUAAUUUUUAUUUUCAUAAAUUAAUUAAAAAUAUCUAUGACUUUUGAAAGAAAGAAGUCAGUCAGCAAUUUUG